Molecule: microRNA precursor, 126 nt
Filed under: Hordeum vulgare
Lineage: Eukaryota; Viridiplantae; Streptophyta; Magnoliopsida; Poales; Poaceae
Description: microRNA MIR1122
Rfam family: MIR1120/MIR1122 microRNA precursor family
Source: RNAcentral
AUAUUACUCGCUCCAUCCGGAAUUACUUGUCGCAGAAAUGGAUGUAUCUAGAUGUAUUUUUUGUUUUAGAUACAUUCAUUUCUAUCCAUUUAUACGACAAGUAAUUCGGGAGGGAAGGAGUACUAC